Molecule: small RNA, 328 nt
Filed under: Histoplasma capsulatum
Lineage: Eukaryota; Fungi; Ascomycota; Eurotiomycetes; Onygenales; Ajellomycetaceae
Also listed under: 1 other name
Description: hypothetical RNA
Source: RNAcentral
GUGACCAAACUGUGAUUGCGAUGACUGCGCACUCCCCCCCUCCAAAAGGACGAUACGGGAAGUAAAUUAUGUAGCAGACAUGACAAGGGCGGCGGCAAGUUCCAUAUGGACAUGCUUCUUUCUAUAGUAUUAUUGGAUCUUCUCUUUCACCAAUGAUAAUUUCUCCUGUGAGGGUCAUUAGGGAUUCGGGUGAAGAAAAGGAGUCAUCAUCGAUGAAGCAUUGCUGAGAUGGCCUCUCUUGUUGACGGAAAUCUGAUGGACGGAAUGAGAUAGGAUAGAUUCCCAACGACCCCUGUGUUAUUUCCACAAAACCGCUCGAAUGAAUCAG